AUUGAUCUCCGCCGUUGACUCAACCUCGCUAGUUGUCUCACCACCAUCAUUGAACGCUUGAUCUACCCUUGCUCCCCUCAUCAAUAGCUCAAGAGAGGAUCGUCGUCCUCCCAUAGCCCUAACAACCUCUGCGGGACAUAGUAUCAUAUAUUCAUAUUUAACAUGCAAAAUAAAAGGCUAGAUAGACAUACAUCUAGAAUAUGCAAAAUAACAUUUUCUUAAUCUAGCCAAGAAAUUUGAUAGCCCUGAUAGAUCGUGUAAAUACCUCCGUUCUUAUGCUAAAAUAUACACCAAUAU
This 297-nucleotide long non-coding RNA is filed under the name Hordeum vulgare. RNAcentral's name for it is "long non-coding RNA (HVUL_LNC014820)". Lineage: Eukaryota; Viridiplantae; Streptophyta; Magnoliopsida; Poales; Poaceae. The record is from RNAcentral.